RNAcentral lists this long non-coding RNA (962 nucleotides) under Bos taurus (domestic cattle). RNAcentral's name for it is "long non-coding RNA NONBTAT025508". The record is from RNAcentral. Lineage: Eukaryota; Metazoa; Chordata; Mammalia; Artiodactyla; Bovidae.
CCAAUUCUAGCCAAUACGUGACUUGUAAGGGUCAGUAAUCCACAAACUAUUUGGAUGGUAAUUGUGUAUUUUAUUCAUGUAAUGUGAUUUUGCACUAUUGUAUUGUCAUAUUUAAACAGACUCAAAAACACCCUGAAACCUAAAUGCCAAAUGUACAGUUUACAGGUUCAUGUUAUUUCUGAUAAGGAUUUAAUUGCAUUGUGCUAAUAGUUGUUUAAGGCUCUUAACUUUCUGUAUGUGUAUUAUUGCCAUGCAAACCCAAUAGGGUUGUUGUAAGCACACUAAUUGAUCAUGUGAAUUUUGUAGAUAAAAUCAUACAUUGAUCAGAAAUCACUUUUCUACUUAUUUUUUUGUAGAGUAUUUUUCCACACUUGAAAAAAACAUGAUUAUUUUAUAUCAAACAUCAGCUUUUCUUUAAAAUCUUAUUUUAGUAGCCAGUGCAUGCUUGAAACUAGAUGUGCUAGAAAUUAUAUGACAAUAUUAAGGUUCUGUUAUAUUGGGUGAAAAAUGCAUGCCGUUAGUGAAUCACACAACUUUGGGGAGAUUCACACUGACAGCUCAUCCACAGGCUUCAUCUCAUUCCGUGCGCAUGAUUCACAUUCUUUCAAAAGUCCUUUUUAAACUUUAGAAGUGAAAAUGUUACUGUUGGUGUGAAUGAGCCCAUAGACAAUGCUACUUUGCUUAUUUUCUAACUUUGCAGUGUAUUGUGGUAAAUUCCACUCUUCCCAAUUUUCUUCUUGGAGUUUCUUGUUGGCAAUAAAAUACAACAAAAUCACUUGUUGGCAAAUGAUACAAUUUACUGUAUAGCAUUUUCCUAUUAUAAAGCAUGAAAAAAAAUUCAUCUCAAUUCAUUCCAUACUAUGAACACAAUAUUCUGGCAGCUUUUUCUACAAUCAAGAAUGGUAUGUCUUUUUUUUUUUUUUGACACUGCCAAAAUCAGUACUACUGCCAGUGGGGUUAUU